GAAUAUUCUGCCCUCAUCCGAGUUCAUUGUCUCACCAACUCAGUUGCUUGGAAGCCAAGUUUCCGAGUUCACCCCCCACUGCUUCGCCUACAUAUUCUUCUCUUCACUCCCCUCUCUUUCAGAGAUCCAGAGCUCAAUCUUGUGAUUUGGCUCUUUCUUUUGGGUUUUCGUUCUCUGUUUCUCCCUUCUUCUUCUCCAAAGGGGUUCGCCUCUCGAUCCUCUGUUUCUUGGUUUCCAUCCCCUCUGUUCUUUACUCUUUACUCCCUACUCCUCCUCUCUACGCCCUCUUCUCUAUCUUCACCAGGGGAUCGCGAAGUUAAUCGUCGGAUUCGCUUUCUUCCUGGGGUUUCAAAUUUUCUAUCCCCUGUUUUUGGUGUCUUCUCCUCCUCACUCCAUUGAGUGGUUUUCUCUGUUUCCUGGGUUACAUCCCCUGUUUUCCCCUAAUGCCAAUUUUACCCUAAAGCAAGCAUUAAACGCGUGCCGUUAGAAGCGUACAAAGCCGGAAUCGUCUUCACCAUUGGGAUCCAUAUCUUUCACUAGGCAGGACUUAGGAGUAUUGUGGGCGCCUGUUUUGGGACAUAUAUAGCGCACCAAACACCCUCGAGGAUCAUCCCCCGUUUCCAAAGGAUUCCACGCCUCAAUCCCUGUUUCUUUCUGCUCUGUUUCUUCAGCAAUGGAAACUGCAGUCUCCAGUAAUCCCAAUUACAAUCCAGGAAGACACCUCCCUCCUCGACAGAGAGGAGGGAUCAAAAAACAGAUAUUCAAAGACUUUCUUAAAUAUGUUAGUGCCAUCGCGCUUUUACUGGGCCAGAUGGAAGCAAAUCAAGGGGAUAGUGGCGGUCGUCGCCUUAGCUCCGCCUCCGCACCUCUUCCUGAAAUCCCUCCUGGCUACACUUCAGAUCUGAGGCGUUGAUUCAUUAAAUUAGAUUUGGCGAUGGUUGUCUUUUGAUAUAUGCUUGGAUGCCGAGAAAAUUUCACAUGUCAUUCCAAUUUCUCCCUUCCUUCAGUUUGACAGAACUGAGGAAAGGCGAUCGACGAUCGACGAUCGGAAACGUUAUGAUUGGGUACUGUCCUCCAUGCCUGUGUAUAUAAAUCCAGAAAUCUUCUUGUAGAAACUUUGUAUUUUCACUUUGUACAUACUUCGUUAAUAAAGUGGAAUGAAUCAAUCAAUGUAUUAUUGAUUUCUGGACUUCUGUGAUAUGAAAUGCGUCCAUGAAUUUGCAAAUGAAUCCGAAGAUCAUCUAUGCCACCGCCUCCUUCACUCUUCCAAAUUGUUUUCGCUUUAUAAUUGUGCAUAAUUCAGUUUUGAGCUGCCGUUGGUUGCCAAAAUCUCGUAGGGACACUUUCAAUUAUUCACUGAAUCAUCCAUGGUUCUUGCUAUCUCAGAUUGAAUUUUUUUUUCCCUUUUAGGGAAAUGCAUUUAUGUUUCUUAAAUUCUUUUGCAUAUAGGUUAAAGAUUUAUUUAUUUUCAAUUAGAAGUGUAAUGACUCCGAAGUUCCUUCCAAAUAUCUGGAACCCAACUGAAAAUUGCAAUGUUUGGAGAAUAAAACCCCAUCUAACUGGGGGAAUUUUCGUGGAAGAUUAAAAAAUAAAUAAAUUUUUGAAAUUUUUUUAAAUAUAUAUAUAUAAAAUGAAAUCCAAGUUGCGAAAUUCAGCCUUCUAGAAUGAUAUUUCUUUGUUGUUAAGUAAAGUAUAAAAUGGGUUGUAACUGGAUUUUUUUUACUUCGGAAGAUGACGAACAACAUGUGUCAUAAUAAAAAAAGACCCUCUUGUCCUUUGUGGUUGAAUCCUGUUGGGGGCUGAGUUCAGUCCAUCCCAAUCAUAAGUUGUCUUUUUGGGAAAUCCAAAGAAAAUUUAUAACUUUACGUUAAAAGUAAAAAAAUUAAAAACCAACAAUUCUCUUCUCUUUGAAUGUAGGCACUUUAAAUAAGGCUUCUCUGGAGACUUUAAGUUAAUGAAGACAAAGAAUAUAGAAGUUAAAUGAUCAAAGCUAAAUUAAUUUUACAUUCCUACACACCCUACAAACACAAUGGUCACGGCUCAUAAAUUUUUUUUCCCAAAUUGAAGAGUAUAAUAAUUUUUAUAAAAUUUUCCAAGCGAGGGAAUUUGAUUCAAAAAGCGGUGAUUAAUGAAAAAGGAUCAUAUAACAAAAAAAAAAAAAGUCAAUUUAUUAGUGCCUUGAGUAAAAUAUUUCAAUUUGAAGAGAAAACACGUGAGGAAAAAUCACCCACUGGGAAGUUAGGGAGUUAGGGAGUUAGUACCGUAACUGUAAUGAAUUACGGCGGUCCACACAGAAUAUUCUGCCCUCAUGACUCAUCCGAGUUCAUUGUCUCACCAAGUCAGUUGCUUGGAAGCCAAGUUUCCGAGUUCAGCCCACUGCUUGGCCUACAUAUUCUUCUCUUCACUCACCUCUCUUUCAGAGAUCCACAGCUCAAUCUUGUGAUUUUGCUCUUUCUUUUGGGUUUUCGUUCUCCAUUUCUCCCUUCUUCUCCGAAGGGGUUCGCCUCUCGAUCCUCUGUUCUUUACUCUUUACUCCCUACUUCUCCUCUCUACGCCCUCUUCUCUCUCUUCACCGAGGGAUCGCGAAGUUAAUCGUCGGAUUCGCUUUCUUCCUGGGGUUUCAAAAUUUCUAUCCCCUGUUUUUGGUGUCUUCUCCUCCUCACUCCAUUCAGUGGUUUUCUAUGUUUCCUGGGUUUCAUCCCCUGUUUUCCCCUAAUGCCAAUUUUACCCUAAAGCAAGCAUUAAACGCGUGCCGUUAGAAUCGUACAAAGCCAGAAUCGUCUUCACCAUUGGGAUCCAUAUCUUUCACUAGGCAGGACUUAGGAGUAUUGUGGGCGCCUGUUUUGGGAUAUAUAUAGCGCACCAAACACCCUCGAGGAUCAUCCCCCAUUUCCAAAGGAUUCCACGCCUCAAUCCCUGUUUCUUUCUGCUCUGUUUCUUCAGCAAUGGAAACUGCAGUCUCCAGUAAUCCCAAUUACAAUCCAGGAAGACACCUCCCUCCUCAACAGAGAGGAGGGAUCAAAAAACAGAUAUUCAGAGACUUUCUCAAAUAUGUUAGUGCCAUCGCGCUUUUACUGGGCCAGAUGGAAGCAAAUCAAGGGGAUAGUGGCGGCCGUCGCGUUAGCUCCGCCUCCGCACCUCUUCCUGAAAUCCCUACUGGCUACACUUCAGAUCUGAGGCGUUGAUUCGUUAAUUAGAUUUGGCGAUGGCUGUCUUUUGAUAUAUGCUUGGAUGCCGAGAAAAUUUCACAUUUCAUUCCAAUUUCAUUCCAAUUUCUCCCUUCCUUCAGUUUGACAGAACUGAGGAAAGUCGAUCGACGAUCGACGAUCGGAAGCGUUAUGAUUGGGUACUGUCCUCCCCUGUAUAUAAAUCCAGAAAUCUUCUUGUAGAAACUUUGUACUUUCACUUUGUACAUACUUCGUUAAUAAAGUGGAAUGAAUCAAUCAAUGUAUUAUUGAUUUCUGGAUUACUGUGAUAUGAAAUGCGUCCAUGAAUUUGCAAAUGAAUCCGAAGAUCAUCUAUGCCACCGCCUCCUUCACUCUUCCAAAUUGUUUUCGCUUUAUAAUUGUGCAUAAUUCAGUUUUGUGCUGCCGUUGGUUGCCAAAAUCUCGUAGGGACACUUUCAAUUAUGCACUGAAUCAUCCAUGGAAUCCACCAAACCGGCAAUUCCUAUACAUGGUUCUUGCUAUCUCAGAUUGAAAUUUUUUUUUUCCCUUUGAGGGAAAUGCAUUUAUGUUUCUUAAAUUCUUUUGCAUAUAGGUUAAAGAUUUAUUUAUUUUCAAUUAGAAGUGUAAUGACUCCGAAGUUCCUUCCAAGUAUCUGGAACCCAACUGAAAAUUGCAAUGUUUGGAGAAUAAAAUCGCAUCUAACUGGGGGAAUUUUCGUGGAAGAUUAAAAAAUAAAUAAAAUUUUGAAUUUUUUUAAUAUAUGUAUAUAUAUAUAUAUAUAAAAUGAAACCCACGUUGCGAAAUUCAGCCUUCUAGAAUGAUAUUUCUUUGUUGUUAAGUAAAGUAUAAAAUGGGUUGUAACUGGAAAUGUUAUUUUAUUUUAUUUUUAUAGGCGUUACUCAUUUUUAUUUUAUUUUUUUUUACUUCAGAAGAUGACGAACAACAUGUGUCAUAAUAAAAAUACCCUUUUGUCCUUUGUGGUUGAAUCCUGUUGGGGGCUGAGUUCAGUCCAUCCCAAUCAUAAGUUGUCUUUUUGGGAAAUCCAAAGAAAAUUUAAAACUUUAUGUUAAAGUAAAAAAAUUAAAAACCAACAAUUCUCUUCUCUUUGAAUGUCGGCAUUUUAAAUGAGGCUUCUCUCGUGACUUUAAGUUAAUGAAGACAAAGAAUAUAGAAGUUAAAUGAUCAAAGCUAAAUUAAUUUUACAUUCCUACACACCCUACAAAACAAUGGUCACGGCUCUUAAAUUUUUUUUCCCAAAUUGAAGGGUAUAUUAAUUUUUAAAAUUUUUUCCAAGUGAGGGAAUUUGAUUCAAAAAGCGGUGAUUAAUGAAAAAGGAUCAUAUAACAAAAAAAAAAAAAAAAGUCAAUUUAUUAGUGCCUUGAGUAAAAUAUUUAAAUUUGAAGAGAAAACACGUGAGGAAAAAUCACCCACUGGCAGUUAGGGAGUUAGUACUGUAACUGUAAUGAAUUACGGCGGUCACACAGAAUAUUCUGCCCUCAUCCGAGUUCAUUGUCUCACCAACUCAGCUGCUUGGAAGCCAAGUUUCUGAGUUCAGCCCCACUGCUUGACCUAUAUAUUCUUCUCUUCACUCACCUCUCUUUCAGAGAUCCAGAGCUCAAUCUUGUGAUUUUGCUCUUUCUUUUGGGUUUUCGUUCUCUAUUUCUCCCUUCUUCUUCUCCGAAGGGGUUCGCCUCUCGAUCCUCUGUUUCUUGGUUUCCAUCCCUCUGUUCUUUACUCUUUACUCCCUACUCCUCCUCUCUACGCCCUCUUCUUUCUCUUCACCGAGGGAUCGCGAAUUUAAUCGUCGGAUUCGCUUUCUUCCUGGGGUUUCAAAAUUUCUAUCCCCUGUUUUUGGUGUCUUCUCCCUACUCCAUUCAGUGGUUUUCUCUGUUUCCUGGGUUCCAUCCCCUGUUUUCCCCUAUCUUUUAUUUAGCUUCGAAACUGUUCAAACCCAUCUCCUGCAAAUGGAUACUCCAGUGUCUAUUUCCAAAGACAGACCAGAACGACGCUUCCCUCCACCUAGAGGACGAGUCAAAAAAGAAAUUUUCAAAAGCCUGGUGAAAUCUUUCGGCACAGUUGCAGGAAGGGCGAGUGGGGCGAUAAGGAAGCGAGAAGAAAAUGGUGGUCGGCUCAGCUCGACCUCCACUACUCCCGCUGAAACUCCCAGUGGAUACAGCUCAGAUGGGUAGUCUUGAUCCACUGAAUUCAUAUUUCUCAACUCCCCUGUACAGUUGGUGAACGCUGACCUGCGAUGCUAUUUGGAUUCCUAGAAAGUGUUUCAUUUUUUCAUUUUCUUGUUCCUUUUCUUUCGAUGGAAAGAGAAGAGGCGUUGAAGAUUGGAAUUCUCUGUUGAUUGUUGUAAUAUAAAAAUAAAAUCAUGAGCCCAGAGAUGUUCUCAUCUGUAAACAUAUGAUUCUGGUGUUCCGAGCCUGUGUCAUUUUAGCAAAUUUUGGAACAAUAUUAAUUCAUGGAAAUGUGACGAGAAUGAUGAUUUGUUCUCCCAGUUUUCUCAAACACUUGCUACAUUUUUUUUUUUCUCAGAUUCUCUGUUCUUCAUUGAAAGCAGAGGAAAAUAAGUUCAUAUCUACUAGGAUAGAUCUUGAAGAUAAUGCAUAUAAUUCAGAUCAUGGGGUCUGUUUGGAUCGGAUGAUUUUCGAUUCUCUUGAAAAUUUGAACUCCUAAAUCGCCAAUCUCCCUACAGCAACAUUUGGUUUAAGUUCUCUGUUUAAGUCAAUACAAGAACAAUAUUUUGCUAUUCGGUCAGGUAUUUUAAAACCUAUUUGAUUUGAUUUGUAUACGCCUUUUGGAAGGUCCCUUUCCUUCAUUCUUAUACACAAUCUUUUAUUAGGUUCUAAUAAUUAAAAUAAUUUGAUUAUGAUUAAUUUAAGCAUGGAAGUUAGGGUUAUGAAAAAAGAUAAUGUAUUUUAAGUUUCAAGAAUGGGCAUCAUUAAGAAAAUAACAAAGAGAGUGAGUCAGUUGAGGGCGGCCCAGCCGAGGGUGGCCCAGCCUUUUGGGCACAGGUUACCAUGCAAUACUAGGCUGGGGACGCCUGCAGUGAAUAAAUUAUAUCAUCUCAGUCCCAUGUGACUUCAACACGGUCUCCCUCAAGACUCUCAAUAAGUCAUCCUUACGUGAAUUUGUUAGUUGAAUAAUUUGAGAAAAAAAAUAUUAAAAAAAAAGGAGAAAAAUAGGGGGAAAUAAAAUAUAUAUAUUUAAGUCAUCCUUACAUAUUUAUUUUUUAUUUUUUAAAAAUAAAUAUGUAUGAACGGUCAUAUCAUAGCCUCUUGUAACUCAAUAAGUUGUUGGUAACAAUUCUUGUAAUAAUUAUAGUAGGCUAAAAUUGAUGUAUUAAUGUAUAUUUUUUAUUUUGUUUUUUAAGGUUUGCUUGAUAGUAAUUUUAUAAAAUGUUUUUAACUUUUUUUAACAUUUAAGAAAUAUUUAUUUUUUUAAGUGUUAGAAACAAAUUCAAGUGCUAAAAAAAAUUAAAAACAUUUUCUAGAAUUAUUGACAAAUAGACUACUACUAUGCUAAAAAUUUCAAAAUAUCGUGAUAAAACCAUUUUUUAAAAUUAUUGUUAAAUAGAUUUUAUAUCAUUACAUGUAUUUUAAUUUUAAUAAUAUGUUAUAUUAAUGUCUAAGUUGGUAAUUAUGUGUUGUAUUAAAAUUAGUGAGAAACUUAUAUAUAUUAAAAUUAUUUCAUCACUAUAUCGAAAAAAAUAAAUUAAAUUAAAUCAUUUUAAAAUAAUAUAUAAAAAUAAUUUAUUGAUUUUUUUUAAAAAAAUUUCUCUCUCCUUUUUUCUUGUAUUUUCUCUCAAAUUUUUUAAAAAUCAAACAUUGCCUUAAUUACAUAAUAAAGAAUCUCAGAACAUAAAAAUAUUUUUAAAUGUUAAUAUUUUUAUCAUCACUAAAAUUGAUAGUUACUCCAUAGAAGUCAGCCUUCCAGAAUAUGGAAGCUGGUGUUCCUUGGUCCUUAAGCGAAAAGGAUGUCUGUGGUAUUUUACCACAAGGAAUAGAAUAUGAUUGGACUAGAUUUGGCCUUCAGUUUCUUUUGACUGACCAUAUCUAGAAUCGAAAUCCUAGCUGGCAACAAAAGACACAUUGACUGAGUCAAGCUAAACCUUCUUUAUUGACUCAACAACAACUCUCGAUAAAAAGAAUCACUGUAAGAUGAUAUUUUACAAUUGGGUCAAAGCUAAUGUUUGUUUAGGAUAAAAAAAUAGACACUACCCUACCCUUUUCCUUCCUUGGUUGAUAGAAAAUAAUAUGGGAGUGAAAGGCAUUGUAAGGUAGACCUUUUUGAUAGGUUACGAAAAGGCAUCCCUAAUAAAAUGUGUUAACUGGUUUCAUAAUUUUAUAUCUGAAUCUUAAUCAUUUGAAUUUUAUAUAUGUCCUAAUAUUUUAUGCCUGGAUGACAAUUUCGAAACGGGUCGUUCUCAUCUCAACUUUGCCUAUUUAAUUCUUUAAAAAAAAAUUAUUUUUAAAAUUUUAAAUUAUAUUAAAAUAAAUAUAUUUUAUAAAUAAUUAAAAUAUUAUAAUUUUUUAUAACUUAUUUUAUUAGAAAAAAUUAUUAUUAUUAUAUAUUAAAAAUAGAAAAAUUUAAAAAUUAUUGGAUUUAUCAAAAUUCUAAAGGCUUGAUUUCAUAUUGCUAAAAAUUUUAGAAAAAAUAUAGAUAUGUAAAGGAAAAGUACUGAUCAUGAUUCAUUCAAAACUAGUUUUGUUCUUCUUUUUUUUUGUUUUAAUUGGUUUUAUUUUUUAGUUUUAAAUUAUUUUUAAAAAUUACUAAAUUCAUUUAAAAUAAAUUCAAUGCAUUAAGUUUUGCUCAAUUUGAAGUUCAUUUGCUAGUAAAAAAAAUCUUAAAAUAUAAUCAUGUUUAAAAAAGAAAUAACAAACUCUUUUUGUACUAGUUUUAGUUUGUGAAUUUUUUUAUACUAACCGGGUUUUUAAGUUUCAAAUUAGUUUUUAUAUAAACUUGUAAACAAAUACAAUGCAUUAAAUCUUAAUAAUUUAUUUUAGACAAAAUUUUUGUCUAUUAAUGUUUAUGUGAACUCGCAUUUUUCAAAUGCACUCCCAAUCAAUGCCAAGACUAGUUUUUAUUGUGAAAAAACAUUUUUAAAAGAAAAUAAAAAUAAAGUUAUUACUUAUUUUUGUGUGUUUUUUUUAAGGAAAAUAAAAUAAAAUAAGAAAUAAAAUCUUAAAGUGUUUACUUUAAAAAGGAAAAACAUGCCUAUAAAAAUCGAGUUUAAGCCUAAGAGUUAGCUUACUUAUUGAAAAGGAACUAGAGGGUAAUAUCCCUCUAAACCCCUAAAAAUGUCUCUUUUAAACAAGCAAACAAAAUUAUAACGAUCAAUUAAUCACAAAUAUCAAUAAAAAGUAUGAGACAAGUACAUACAAACAAGAUAAGAUGAAAAACAAAUUAUAAUGAUAUAAAACAUUGGCAAAGGGAUUGCACAAAUUAACUUAUUAGACUUUUUUUUUAAAUGAUUAUUUUCAAAUAUUACAAGAUUUGCAAAGAAGAACUUUAUUCACUAAAAUCAAUUUCUAGUUAAUGAUUUCAAUUUAUUUAUUCACAAAAAAAAUUGAUUUUUAUUUUGGUUCAAAUUUGUUUCCAAAAUGACGUUUCCUUACUUUUAUUGAAAGAGUUUAUUAAGAGUCUAUAUAAUACAAUAACUUAGUAAAUUAUAACAACUUGAUAGUCUUAUAUCAAAAUUCACAGUAGGUCUAGUCUAAUGUGUAACUAUACACACUAGUGCACUCACAAUGAGAAAUUUAUCCCAACGGUCAAGACAAGUCAUUCAUUUAAUUUGGAUGUAAUGCAUUACAGUUUCUAUAGAAUUGCUCAAAUUUAUAAACUGGCCAUGAAUUACUUAUCAUUUUGCAAAGAACUCAUGAUUUAUAUCUUUUAUGCAACUUUUAAUACAUGCAAGUCAUAUACAAUACAAGUGAAACGAGCAUACUCAAAUCAAAAUCAAUGCAAAAAGCAAAUAGAAAGUCAAGUCUAAUUUUAUUACAUCAUAUCUUAUUUUUAAGGGUUUUAUCCCAACACUUGAAGCCUUCAAAGAUUCAUAACAACCUUGUUGACGAUUCAAGACCUAGCUUGAAAAUUCAAAAUCACUCUUGAGAAGAGUUGGAGAGACCACCUACAAGAUUCAAAAUGCACUUCAAGCCUUCAAAGAUUUAUAAGCUCUUCAAACUUUCAAAGAUUAAAGAACAAGUUUGAAGGUCUAAAAAACAAGUUUGAAAAGAUUCAAAAAAACUCUUCAAGCACUUGAAAAUUAAAGAACAAGUUUGAAGGUCCAAAAAAACAAGUUCAAAAUAUCUUCAAUUUGAGAUCAAAUAUUCAUGCCCUCACUUAACAUCAUUCAAGUCCAGCCAAGUUCUAGGCCUAAGCCAAGUUAACAUAAAAAGUCUAUGUCCAGGCUUAAGCCCAAGUCACUCAACUCAAAUCUAAAAUGAAAAAUUCAAGCCCUCACGUAACAUUGUUUAAGUCAAGCAAAGGCUCAGCCGCUCAAGUCCUACCAUGGCCUAAGUUGACUAAGCCACAUCAAGGAUCAAAUCAAGUUAAAGCCCAAGACCACCAAGGUCCAAUCCACGCUAAGGUUGAAACAAGUCAAGGCCCAAAACAUUCCUAAUCAUGGAGAUGAUGGUCAAUGUUGAGAUCAUCAUCUCCAUAUUCAUGAUGGCCAGACCUUCCUCCAUUCACAAUAUCAAUUACUAAUUUAUUUUUUUAAAAUGGGCAUUUCAACUGGGACGAAGACAAUAAAUUACCAUUAUAUCCAAAUAUAAAAAAAAAAUACAUUCUUUAUAUAAGAUAAUGUAUUCUAAAAUUCAACAAUGGGCUGGCCUCCAUUAUGAAAAUGAAAAUGAGAUGGAGCGUGUCAGUCAGUUGUGGCCAGCCCAACAUUAUAUUGGACUGGGCCGCUCCGAUAUUGUAUGGAGACCUCCAAGCAAAGAGUACAUCCCCUCAUUUACAUGUAACUCCUACACGAUCGUCACAAGUCAGAAAGGUAAGAGUUUUUAUAAAUUCAUUUUAUUCCUUUAUUUUCGAGUGGGGAUAUAUUCAAUCGCACGUAUAUUUGGCAACAAAAGACAUGGUAACAAAAUUUUAAUGUAUUGAUUGGGUAUUUAUCCAACUUGUAAUAUCGAUUAUUGAAAGUGAACAAUUAAAUAGGAGUUGUCUAGUGAAACUUAAAACAAAUGGAAUCUUAUUAUAAUCUACUGUUAAAUAAGAGUAUGUUUAAUAUUGAUUUUAUAAAAUGUUUUUGGCAUUCCUAAUUAUUGGAAGAUAAAAAUUUUCAAGUGUAAAAAAUAUUAGAAAUGCUUUUUAAAAUCAGUAUCAAACGCACUCUAGUUCAAUAAAAAGAAUCUCCUUUAAUAAUAUUUCAUAAUUUGAUCAAAAUGAAUGAUGCUAUGAAAGAAAAUAGAAAGAAGAUGAUAAUCAUAAAAGUAAAAAAUUGAUUAAAAGCUUAUAAUACAACAGAGCAUCGGAGGAACAAAUAUUUGAUAAAAAGUGUUUCUACUAUCAACUACAUGGAUGAUAAAGAGAUUAAGAGUAUGUUGGGCAUUAAUUUUAAAAAGUGUUUCUAACUUUUCCAAUGUUUGGAAAAUAAAAAAAUUUAAAUGCUAGAAAAGUUAAAAAUAUUUUCUAGAAUCAUUAUCAAACAUACUCUAAGAGUCUGUUUGAUAAUGAUUUUUUGAAACGUUUCUAAUUCUUCUAAUAUUUAAAAGAUAAAAAAAUUUAAGUGCUAAAAAGGUUAAAAGCACUUCCUAAAAUUACUAUCAAACAUACAUUAAACGUGCAUUUGAUAGUAAUUUUAGAAAGUAUUUAUAUUAUUUUUAAUACUUGAAAAUAAAAAUUUUCAAGUAUUAUAAAUAUUAGAAACAUUUCAUACAAUCACCGCUAAACGCACUCUUAGAGUACGUUUCUAGCCUUUAUGACACUUUGAAAUUUUCAUCAUUCAAGUAUUAAAAAUAUUAUAAAUAUUUCUCAUAAUUACUGUUAAACGUAUUUUAAGAGUGUGUUUGACAAUGUUUUUAAUCGAAGUAUUUUUGGAACUAUUUUCUCUUAAAGUGUUUUUAGGACAAUUAUCUUUAAGUGUUUCUCCAUAAAACACUAUAAAUGAUUUUUUAAUUAUAUGAAAAAAAAAGUCAAAAUUUUAAAAAUGUUUCUUAAAUGAAACACUUGAUUUUAAAAAAAAACCAAUAAAACACUUUUUAGGUUAAUAAUGUUUUUCAAAAACAAUGUCAAAAGUACUCUAAAAUUGAGAUAGUACGAAAUUGGAAAAAUAUAUUCAAGUUUGACUUUUUCACAUGAGAAAAUUAAUUUUCAAAGAAUAAAUUUAUGAUUCUGGGACUCGAUCGAUCUUUUUAGAAAUUGAAUAAAUGAAACUUAGAACCCAUUUGAUAGUGAAUUUAGGAAACACUUCCAAUAGUUUUAACCCUUGAAAAAAAUUAUCAUUCAAGUGUUAGAAAUAUUGGAAAUGUUUUCUAAAAUUAGUACCAAAUCCACUCUUAAUUAAAGGAUGUAAUAUAAAUGAAUAAAAUGAAGCUACAUUAUACUCUCAUGUAUAAGUGGAUUAAUAAAAAGACACUAUGUACACCCUUAAUUUAUCCUUUUAGAGAAGCAUACUGCUGCAAUAAUACAUAUACAACCAAAGCAGUAAAUCAGGCUCAACAGUAUCUGUGUGGAUCUUGUCUCAAUGGACCUUUAACUCUUACCGUCAAAUAAAGUUUCUUGAUCACCAUUAAAAUGCAUGAAGUGUAAUUAAACUUUCUAAGCCCUACUCUCAAGUAAGUGUGAAAUUUUUUAGCACUAUGUCAUUAGCAAGCUUUAAGGGAUGAGUAAGCAAUCUUUUGCACGAUGAUAAUAUCCUUAAAUGACUUGUACUAGUUGAGAAAUUUGGGUACUACUUGCUAUUUGCUAAGUAGGUGAAAGCUUUAAUUCUAAUAUAUAAUAUAUUAGUGCAAGAACAUAAAAAUAAAAUUAUUCACGUGGCUGGAUCAAUUAUACUCAUAUAAAUGAAAAUUAAUCAUUUUACUAUGUGAUAAAAUAAACAUAUACAAUUAUUGAAUUUUAAAACAUCUCAUGCUCUCAUACUUUUUGUAUUUAUAUCCUAAAUUGAGAGGUCUUAUUUUAUUAGGUGUCUCAUACUUCCCCACAUCUAUAUUUAUUUAGUAUAAACUUUAUAUGACCGUUUUCAUAUCAUUACUUUUUUCUACUCAUUACUUCAAAUAUAUAAAUAUAGAAAUCGUCUAGAAAGGUUGUGUUCACUUUGUACAUACUUCAUUAACAAGGUGGAAUGAAUCAAUCAAUGUAUUAUUGAUUUCUAUGCCUUCCCCCCGGGCUUCAAUCUUCCAAAUUGUUUUUGCUUUAUAAUUGUGCAUAAUUCAAUUUUGUGUCAUCUCUGGUUAACAAAAUCUCGUAGGGACACUUUCAAUUAUUCAUUGAAUCAUCCAUGGAAUGAGAAUUGUACUUCGAGGUAAGAUGGACCUAAAAAGUGACCCAAGGUUCCUCUAUCACCUAUAAUUAAUUUUAAGGAUAUAAAAUGGUGAUAGACUAAAAUGCUCAUUUAACUCAUCACAUGCUUGUGCUGAUUUUUGUGGAACUCAUGAUUUAUUGAAUUCUUUUAUCUUUAUUGCAUCUCAAUUCACAUACCCAGGACAAUUCUAUUUUAACCGUUUGGAUUUUUCACUAUUUUUUAAAACUUUUUUUUAUAAAUAAUUGAAAAUUAGCAUUGUUUUCUAUUUUAAAUUACAAAUAAAGAAAAAUUAAAUCAAUGACUCAAAAACCAUUUUAAAAAAUACUUUCUAAAAAAAAUAUGGUAAUAAGAUUUUUAUUUUUUAUAUUUUCCUUUUGAAAAUAUGUUUAAUUGAUAAUGAAAACUAUUUUUAAAAAUGAAAAUUGAAAACCUUGUUUAGUACUAUUUUUUUCAUAUGAAAAUAAUAAAAAGAAUUAAAUUCCAUUUAUUGAUUAUCCAUUUUUAUUUUCUCCAUUAGUUAUUUUAAUAAUAAAAUAAAAAUAUAUAUAGUAUGUUCACAAUUAAACAAAGAAAUUGGUCAAUUGUGUGUUUUUUUGUGUGACUAUUUUUUACAUGAAAAAAUUAAAUAACUAAAUUAUAUAUAUUUAUUACUCUUUUUAAUUUUAUUUCCUCUAUUAGUGUUUUUUUUUUUUUGUGUAAUAGAAAAUUUUAAUAUAUCCAUAAUUAACAAAGUAAUAGAUUAAUUGUGUACAUUUUAAUCUAUUAAAAUAAAUUAUUUUCUAAUUUAAAUAAAUAAAAUGAAAUAAGUAAAUAAAUUUGGGGUUAUUUCUAUUUUCUAACAUAUCUAAUAUUAAUAUUUUUUUAGGGAAAAGUGGAAUUUGAUUUACUAAUNNNNNNNNNNNNNNNNNNNNNNNNNNNNNNNNNNNNNNNNNNNNNNNNNNNNNNNNNNNNNNNNNNNNNNNNNNNNNNNNNNNNNNNNNNNNNNNNNNNNUAGGGAAAAGUGGAAUUUGAUUUACUAAUAUGAAAAUAUCUUGAAAAAAGAACCUCAAAUAUUUUAAAUUAGUAUUAUUUUCAUCUAUUUAAAAAUAAUUUGAAAUCCAUGCACUUUUUAAUAAGUUGUACAAUUAUUCCCAAAAAUGUUCAUUUACUUAUCAUAUCAUCAAAAUCAAUUGAUAACUAAACUCUUUCACGUAAAUGUUUCCUUUCUUUAAGAUUUUAUUAUUAUUAUUAUUAUUAUUAUUAUUAUUAUUUUAUUAUUUAGGAAUUUUUUUUCUCUAGAAACAUUAUUAAGAAUUUGAAAAAAAAAAAUUAUUCUAGUAUUAAUAAGUUAAAAAUAAAUUCAUAUUCUUGACAAUAAAUAAACCAAUAAUAAAUUUUUAUUUAUUAUAUAAUAUUAAUAAUUUUAAAAUAUAAUAGCGAAUAAAAUUUAUUGUAAGAGUUUUUCAGAUAUAAAAUGUUUUACAAUAUGGUUGUAUUUUGAUAUAUAGUAUAAAAAUAAAUAAAUAAAUAAUGAUUUCUUAUUAAAUAGAUUAAUCAUAAUUAAAAUAAUGAUAUAUUACUAAAUUUAUUAUUUAUUAUUUAAUAAACAACCUUAUUACUUUUUGAAUUGGUAAUUAUGAUUAAAUAGGAUUUGUUUGACAAUAUGUUCUCUUAAAAUUCUAAGAAAUAAAAAAAUAUUAAUCCUAUUUAAAUAGGAUUUUUUUGGCAUAAUAUUUCCUAAUCUUUUAAGAAACUAGAAUAAGAAUCCUACGAGGUGUUUGUUUCUAGAGAAAAAAAAUCAAAAUAAUAAAAUAAUGAUAAUAAUAAUAAAUAAAUAAAAUAUAUAUAUAUAUAUACACAUAUAUAUGUAAAAAGAAGGGAAACAUCUAUACGGAGGAGUCUAGUUAUCAAUUGAUUUGAAUGAUAUGACAAGUAAAUGAGUAUUUUUUGGAAUAAUUGGAUGACUCGUUAAAAAGUACAUAUAUUUCAAAUUAUUUUUAAAUAAAUGAAUAUAAUACUAAUUUAAAAUUUUUGGGUUCUUUUUUCCAUUUUCAUAUUAGUAAGUCAAAUCCCACUUUUUUUUUUUUUUUUCCUGUCAUCCAAGAAAUACACACUCUCCUAUCAUAAAUUCUUUCAUUUCAUAUACUUUAUUUAAUUCGUAUAUACAAAUCAAAACUUACCUCAAUAAUGAUGUUUGAAGAAAAAUUUUGUUUUUACAUUUUACGUUCACACAUUCUAUGUAGACACAUAAUGUAUGCAUGUAAAUGAAAUUUGUAUCAUUGUACAAGUGUGUUAUACUAAUUGUACAAGGGGUGUACAAAGUUAUCAUUUGUGAAGGAUUUCAAUCGAUUUUGGACAACCUUUUUUUUUUUUUUUUUUUGUCUUGUCAUCUAAGGAUUGCACUCUCAUGGCAUACAUUCCUCUAUCAUACACUUAUCUUAUGAACUUUAUUUAACUCACAUGCGACAAUUCAAAUACUUAUCCCACUAAUGACGCUUGAAGCAAAAUUUUGUUUUUAUGUCUUCCAUUAUUUUGUGAUCCAAACCAAUAAAAACAUGGUUAACCUAUCUAUGAACACAUAUUGAGUAGGGAGUAUAUGGAAUUUGGGCCACUAUACAAGAUAUUUAUACUAAGUGUAUAAGACAAAAAUAUUAAUUAUAUUAUGGUGUACAAGACCGUUAUUUGUAAAAAAAUUUAUGUGAUUUUGAAAAACUCAUUUGUUUAUUUCCCAUAACCAAUGAUAAAUGACAUUCCUCACACACAUUGAUUAAGCAUAUAUUAAUUUUAUGCAUUUUAUUAUAUGGUCAUUUGAAUACUUAUCUCACUAAUUAUAAUUAUAUAACAAAAUUGUACAACAAUUUUUCCUUUUUUUUUAAAACUAAACCAAUGCAAACAUAAUUAAUCAAUCCAUUGUCAAAUAUUCAUGAGACGAUGUAUGAAAUUUGAGUUAUUGUAUAAAUGCAUUACACUAGUUGUAUAAGACAAUUUUACUAAUUGUAUAAGGGUAUGCAUGAUUGCUUCUUGUUAAGGAUUUCAAGUGAUUUUGAAUUUUUUUUUUCACUUAAGGACUUCACAAUUUCCCCACUCAAAUUCUCUCACUCAAAAAUUGUUUGGACUUUUAUUUUUAAAUUUCAUCAUCAAAAUUUUGUAAUUGUAUAUUUUGUUUUUGUAGUUUAACAAUGUUCUUUCUUUCCACCAUUUUUUUUUUUGUGAAAUUUUAUCAAAAUGAAUCUAUAUUUAAAAAUCUAAUUUAAAAUUAUAAUAAUAUUUCACAAAUUUUUUACUAAGAUUAUCUUAAAUUCUUUUAAUAUAUUUGUACUCAUUUAUUUAAAAAAUAAAAAACUAACUUUCUAUAAACAUGUUCUAUUACCUUUCAAGUAAAAAAUUAAAAUAACUUUGAAAGUCAAUAAAAAAAAUUAAAUACUACAUUCAAUCAUUUUUAGAUAAAAUUUUAUAUAAUAUAUUUCAUUUGAAAUUUAAUUUAUAAAGUUUUACUAAAAAAUUGCAUUGACAAAUCUUGUUGUGAGUCAAAAUACUUUUCAUUAGUUUAUCUAGAUAAGAAAAAAUAUUAAUAUAAUAUUAGAACUUCAUAUUUUAAUUAUUUUUUCAAUAAAUUUAUCUUUUCAAAAUUAUAUAUAUUUAAAAUAAGAGUAAAGUGAUAAUCAAUUUUUUUAAAUAUGGUUAAUGUGGAAAAUAUAAAAAAUAAUUAAAAAUAAGAGAAAAAAUAUAAAUAAAAGGGUAAUGUAAAUUUAAAAUAAAAAAUGAAAAUUAAACUAAAAGAUAAAUACAAAAAGAUAAAAAUAUUUGGACGAAAAAUCUCAAAAUUUUUAUGGAUUCAACAUCUUAAAAAACAAAAAGAAAAAGAAAACAUAAUUGUCUUUUAUUUGACAUAAAAUGGAAAUAUAGAUUGAGAGAAAAGAAAAUAUAUUAAAAUGGGUAAGUUUCUCAAAGUAGAAAGUUAGAAAUGGGUAACUGGUAAACUUAGCUGAACUUAGCUUGCGAGCCAAGUUUCUUUGUUCACCCGACUGCUUCGCCUACAUAUGCUUCACUCCCCUUUCACAGAUCCACAGAUCAAUCUUGUUAUUUGGCUCUUUCUUUUGGGUUUUCGUUCUCUGUUUCUCCCUUCUUCUCCAAAGUUGUUCGCCUCUCAAUCCUCUGUUUCUUGGUUUCCAUCCCCUCUUUUCUUUACUCCUUUCUCCUCUCUACACCCUCUUCUCUCUCUUCACCGAGGGAUCACGAAUUUAAUCAUCUGAUUCUCAGUCUUCCUGGGGUUUCAAAUUUUCUAUCCCCUGUUAUUGGUGUGUUCUCGUCCUCACUCCAUUCAGUGGUUUUCUCUGUUUCCUGAGUUUCAUAGCCUGUUUUUCCCUAUAUUUUCUUUAGCUUCGAAACUGUUCAGACCCAUCUCCUGCAAAUGGUUAGUCUAGCGUCUAUUUCCAAAGUCAAACCAGAAAAACGCUUCCCUCCACCUAGAGGACGAGUCAAAAAAGAAAUUUUCAAAAGCCUGGUCAAAUCGGUCGGCGCAGUUGCAGGAAUGGCGCGUGGGGUGAAAGGGAAACGAGAAGAAAAUGGUGGUCGGCGCAGCACGACCUCCACUACUCCCGCUGAACUCCCAGUGGGUACAGCUCGGAUGGGUAGUCUUAUGACUCUUAUCCACUGAAUUCAUAUUUCUCUACUCCCCUGUACGGUUAGUGAGCACUGGUCUGCGGUGUUGUUUAGAUUCCUAGAAAUUGUUUCAUUUUUUCAUUUUCUUUUGCCUUUUCUUUCGAUGGAAAGAGAGGGGGCGUUGAAGGUUGGAAUUCUCUAUUGGUUAAUCAUGAACCCAGAAAUAUGCUCAUCUGUAUACAUAUGAUUCUGGUGCUUCGAGUCUGUCUCAUUUUAGCAAAUUUUGAAAGAAUAUUAAUUCAUGGAAAUGUGAUGAGAAUGAUGAUUUGAUCUCCCAGUUUUCUAAAACACUUCUUACCUUUUUUUUUCUCAAAUCAUCUGUUCCUCGUUGAAAGCAGAGGAAAAUAAGUUCAUAUCUACUAGGAUAGAUCUUGAAGAUAAUUCAGAUCAUGGGGUCUGUUUGGAUCGGAUGAUUUUCGAUUCUCUUGAAAAUUUGAACUCCUAAAUCACCAAUCUAAUAAUUAAAAUAAUUUGAAUCUUUUAUUAGAUUCUAAUAAUUAAAAUAAUUUGAUUAUGAUUAAUUUAAGCAUGGAAGUUAGGGUUAUGAAGAAAAAGGACAAUGUAUUUUAAGUUUCAAGAAUCGGCAUCAUUAAGAAAAUGACAAAGAGAGUGAAUGAGUGAGGCACUUGAGGGCGGCCCAUCUGUCGGCGGCCCAGCCUUUUGGGUUCAGGUUACCAUGCAACACUGGGCUGGGAGUGCCUGCAUUGAAUAAAUUAUAUCAUCCC
This 18008-nucleotide long non-coding RNA is filed under the name Vitis vinifera (wine grape). Its description in RNAcentral is "long non-coding RNA (VVIN_LNC001714)". Lineage: Eukaryota; Viridiplantae; Streptophyta; Magnoliopsida; Vitales; Vitaceae. The record is from RNAcentral.